GCCGGUGUGGCGGAAUGGCAGACGCACCGCACUCAAAAUGCGGCGGGAAACCAUGCCGGUUCAAGUCCGGCCACCGGCACCA
Molecule: transfer RNA, 82 nt
Filed under: Candidatus Alectryocaccomicrobium excrementavium
Lineage: Bacteria; Bacillati; Bacillota; Clostridia
Also listed under: 1 other name
Description: tRNA-Leu
Rfam family: tRNA
About the family: Transfer RNA (tRNA) molecules are approximately 80 nucleotides in length.
Source: RNAcentral